UACGUAGGGCGCAAGCGUUAUCCGGAAUUAUUGGGCGUAAAGAGCUCGUAGGCGGUUUGUCGCGUCUGACGUGAAAUCCCCAGGCUCAACCUGGGAACUGCGUCUGAUACUGGAUGGCUUGAAUCCGGGAGAGGGAUGCAGAAUUCCAGGUGUAGCGGUGAAAUGCGUAGAUAUCUGGAGGAAUACCGGUGGCGAAGGCGGCAUCCUGGACCGGCAUUGACGCUGAGGAGCGAAAGCCAGGGGAGCAAACGGG
RNAcentral lists this ribosomal RNA (253 nucleotides) under uncultured bacterium. RNAcentral describes it as "partial 16S ribosomal RNA". It matches the Rfam family "Bacterial small subunit ribosomal RNA", at positions 524 to 776 of the family's 1533-position model. The record is from RNAcentral.